This 300-nucleotide long non-coding RNA is filed under the name Elaeis guineensis (African oil palm). Its description in RNAcentral is "long non-coding RNA (EGUI_LNC072319)". Lineage: Eukaryota; Viridiplantae; Streptophyta; Magnoliopsida; Arecales; Arecaceae. The record is from RNAcentral.
CUUACAGAACAACAGAUCCUUAAGCACCCAAUAAAAGCUUAAACCCAAAACUAAAGUGAGGACAACCUUUCAAAUUCAAGCUCCUGGAGGCUAAGAUGGAGCUAAUCAAAGGCAAACCAAGAUCAGCAAAUCAAGACCUUAGUGACUAAGUAGCGGGGUAUAACCAAUUCAGACCCUCGAAGACUGAACUCUACUUUUUAAUGAGUCAAUGCCCAUGAAGAUUUUAGUUGUCCGGGAUGUCAAGUCCUCACUUUUCAAUGAAGGAUCGAAGAUGGGCCUCGAUAGAACAAAGAUGCCGUC